Molecule: ribosomal RNA, 490 nt
Filed under: uncultured bacterium
Lineage: Bacteria
Description: bacterial SSU rRNA
Rfam family: Bacterial small subunit ribosomal RNA
Source: RNAcentral
UGGGGAAUAUUGGACAAUGGGGGAAACCCUGAUCCAGCGACGCCGCGUGGGUGAAGAAGGCCUGCGGGUUGUAAAGCCCUUUCGGUAGGGACGAACGUGACGGUACCUGCAGAAGAAGCCCCGGCUAACUACGUGCCAGCAGCCGCGGUAAUACGUAGGGGGCAAGCGUUAUCCGGAUUCAUUGGGCGUAAAGCGCCCGUAGGCGGCUUGUUAAGUCAGAUGUGAAAACCGGGGGCUCAACCCGCGGCCUGCAUCUGAAACUGGCAGGCUUGAGUCUGGUAGAGGAAAGUGGAAUUCCUGGUGUAGCGGUGAAAUGCGCAGAUAUCAGGAGGAACACCAGUGGCGAAGGCGGCUUUCUGGGCCACGACUGACGCUGAGGCGCGAAAGCUAGGGGAGCGAACAGGAUUAGAUACCCUGGUAGUCCUAGCCGUAAACGAUGGGCACUAGGUGUGGGAGGUCAUCGACUCCUCCGUGCCGAAGCUAACGCAUU